Molecule: ribosomal RNA, 492 nt
Filed under: uncultured bacterium
Lineage: Bacteria
Description: partial 16S ribosomal RNA
Rfam family: Bacterial small subunit ribosomal RNA
Source: RNAcentral
AGUGAACGCUGGCGGUAGGCCUAACACAUGUAAGUCGAACGGCAGCACGGUAAGAGCUUGCUCUUACGGGUGGCGAGUGGCGGACGGGUGAGGAAUACAUCGGAAUCUACUUUUUCGUGGGGGAUAACGUAGGGAAACUUACGCUAAUACCGCAUACGACCUACGGGUGAAAGCAGGGGAUCUUCGGACCUUGCGCGAUUGAAUGAGCCGAUGUCGGAUUAGCUAGUUGGCGGGGUAAAGGCCCACCAAGGCGACGAUCCGUAGCUGGUCUGAGAGGAUGAUCAGCCACACUGGAACUGAGACACGGUCCAGACUCCUACGGGAGGCAGCAGUGGGGAAUAUUGGACAAUGGGCGCAAGCCUGAUCCAGCCAUACCGCGUGGGUGAAGAAGGCCUUCGGGUUGUAAAGCCCUUUUGUUGGGAAAGAAAAGCAGCAGGUUAAUACCCCGCUGUUCUGACGGUACCCAAAGAAUAAGCACCGGCUAACUUCGUG